Molecule: ribosomal RNA, 496 nt
Filed under: uncultured bacterium
Lineage: Bacteria
Description: partial 16S ribosomal RNA
Rfam family: Bacterial small subunit ribosomal RNA
Source: RNAcentral
GAUGAACGCUGGCGGCGUGCCUAAUACAUGCAAGUCGAGCGAACAGACGAGCAUCUUUCUCUUCUGCUGUUAGCGACGGACGGGUGAGUAACACGUGGAUAACCUACCUAUAUGACUGGGAUAACUACGGGAAACCGGGGCUAAUACCGACUAAUAUCUUGUACCGCAUGGUUCCAUAACGCAAGGCGGUUUUGCUGUCUCUUAUAUAUGCAUCCGUGCCGCUUUAUCUAGUUGGUAAGGUAACGUCUUACCAAGGCAAGAAUGCAUGGCCGACCGGAGGGGGUGAUCGACCACACUGAAAGGGAGACACGGUCCGAACACAUACGGGAGGCAGGAGGAGGGAAUGUACCGCAAUGGACGAAGGCCUGACGGAGCAACGCCGGGUGAGUGAUGAAGGUCUUCGGUUGGUAAAACACUGUUAUUAGGGAAGAAAAAAUCUGGAGGUAACUGUGCACGUCUGGACGGAACCUAAGAAGAAGGCCAGGGCAACCUAGGU